This 779-nucleotide ribosomal RNA is filed under the name Lactiplantibacillus plantarum. Its description in RNAcentral is "bacterial SSU rRNA". It matches the Rfam family "Bacterial small subunit ribosomal RNA", at positions 9 to 754 of the family's 1533-position model. Lineage: Bacteria; Bacillati; Bacillota; Bacilli; Lactobacillales; Lactobacillaceae. The record is from RNAcentral.
GAGUUUGNNNNNGGCUCAGGACGAACGCUGGCGGCGUGCCUAAUACAUGCAAGUCGAACGAACUCUGGUAUUGAUUGGUGCUUGCAUCAUGAUUUACAUUUGAGUGAGUGGCGAACUGGUGAGUAACACGUGGGAAACCUGCCCAGAAGCGGGGGAUAACACCUGGAAACAGAUGCUAAUACCGCAUAACAACUUGGACCGCAUGGUCCGAGUUUGAAAGAUGGCUUCGGCUAUCACUUUUGGAUGGUCCCGCGGCGUAUUAGCUAGAUGGUGAGGUAACGGCUCACCAUGGCAAUGAUACGUAGCCGACCUGAGAGGGUAAUCGGCCACAUUGGGACUGAGACACGGCCCAAACUCCUACGGGAGGCAGCAGUAGGGAAUCUUCCACAAUGGACGAAAGUCUGAUGGAGCAACGCCGCGUGAGUGAAGAAGGGUUUCGGCUCGUAAAACUCUGUUGUUAAAGAAGAACAUAUCUGAGAGUAACUGUUCAGGUAUUGACGGUAUUUAACCAGAAAGCCACGGCUAACUACGUGCCAGCAGCCGCGGUAAUACGUAGGUGGCAAGCGUUGUCCGGAUUUAUUGGGCGUAAAGCGAGCGCAGGCGGUUUUUUAAGUCUGAUGUGAAAGCCUUCGGCUCAACCGAAGAAGUGCAUCGGAAACUGGGAAACUUGAGUGCAGAAGAGGACAGUGGAACUCCAUGUGUAGCGGUGAAAUGCGUAGAUAUAUGGAAGAACACCAGUGGCGAAGGCGGCUGUCUGGUCUGUAACUGACGCUNNGCUC